This is a long non-coding RNA of Haemorhous mexicanus (house finch), 975 nucleotides long. RefSeq lists it as uncharacterized. The transcript is spliced from 5 exons. The record is from RefSeq and is a predicted model, not a curated record. NCBI's taxonomy places the organism in Eukaryota, Metazoa, Chordata, Aves, Passeriformes, Fringillidae.
GAUCUGCGCCUGCAGCCCGCCGCCCGAGCUCGGGGAGCCGUGCCCCCGGACAUGUGAUUAAUACUGCACCCAAGCUCCGUUUUAGCAGUUUCAUGAGUUCCCUGGGAGAGGUCCGUAGCGGAGGAGGUGAUAAAAGCGUCAUGUUGCAUGAGUUCCUGGUGGAACAGAAGAGUCGGGCCAGGUGGUGGAGCACUGAUGAGCCUAGCUGGACACACAGCUCCAGUCUCUGGCAGUCCUGGCAGCAUUAUAAAGCACUCAUGUCAUGGCUCUCAGCACUCAGGACGGCUUCCCGUGAUCUGCAGGAGGAGGGUCAGGACCUGAAGCCUUGAGAAAAGCUCCCAAGAGCAUGUUCAGUCCAGCCCAGUUGACAUUAACCAAAAUCCAGCUGAAUCUCACUAGUGAGGAGACAGCUACAGUGUUUGUGUCCACCGUGAACUGCAACGUCUUCAUCUGUGUGCCGCAAGGAGCAGGCACACCUUUCUUACUGUCUGCCAAAGAAGACGAAGUAAGAGCAGCUCUAAGAGAGCAUGCAGUACCUGGGAUGACUCCAGGACUCCCUAGCCACCAAAGGCAUCUCCACAGAGAUGGAUGGAGAUACUUGCUCUGGUUCCUGCACAACUCUGCCCUCAGGGAGCUCUCCCAGCCCUUACAGUGCAAGGAAACACAGGUGGAUGCUGGACUGUAUGACUGAACUGUAGUGUGGCAGAGCAUUGUGAAGCCUUCGAUGGGCCCAAGGAAAACAGCCUGUUUGCAGAGAGAGCAGGAGGCUCAGAAGCCACAGGCAACUCCCUAGGGGCUGCCUCUCUAGCCUGGAAGAAGCCUAGAAAGCAGAUUGACAAGAAGAGUGUGGGCUUUAUGGCUCCCAAGAAAGCAGCUGCUCAAAAUCACUGCGCCGUACUUAUCAAGUUUAUGAGGUGAGAGUAAGAAUAAAAAAUAUCCCCAAACAAUCAGAAAGUUAAUACAGAAUAUGUGGAA